ACUUGCUUUCUUUGCCGGCGACCGGCGCACGGGUGAGUAACACGUAUCCAACCUGCCCUUUACUCGGGGAUAGCCUUUCGAAAGAAAGAUUAAUACCCGAUGGCAUAAUGAUUUCGCAUGGUUUCAUUAUUAAAGGAUUCCGGUAAAGGAUGGGGAUGCGUUCCAUUAGGUUGUUGGUGAGGUAACGGCCCACCAAGCCUUCGAUGGAUAGGGGUUCUGAGAGGAAGGUCCCCCACAUUGGAACUGAGACACGGUCCAAACUCCUACGGGAGGCAGCAUG
This 280-nucleotide ribosomal RNA is filed under the name uncultured bacterium. RNAcentral's name for it is "partial 16S ribosomal RNA". It matches the Rfam family "Bacterial small subunit ribosomal RNA", at positions 74 to 353 of the family's 1533-position model. The record is from RNAcentral.